UAUUGUGCAUAAAGUCAUAUUAAAUUUUGGGAUGAUGUACAACAUCAUUUUCUUUUAAAGGCUGCUUUUAACCUCCAAGUAUCUUCUUUUUAGCUUCUGCUGAGGGAUUUGUUUGUGAUAACCGAUGACUGGGGGAGGGGGAAAAGGGUGUUUUUUAUUAAGCUUCUUGUAGUAGAUAAAUCUGAAUUUGCACCUCUGAUAGGAAACUGGUCCUGGCUAAGGGAAAAAAACACUGUUACAUCUCAUCUGUUUCAAAUGCCUGGGAAAAUAGCUCAGCAGAUAGCCUGAAAGCCGAAUCCGGAUUGCCGUGGGCUCCGUUGGAAGCCAGUUGCAAAAUCAAGACCCAUUCAUUGGAAACGUCUUUCCAACUAACCCCUCCCACUUUCACUUCUUUUAAAAUGAAAAAAAGCUAUUUUCAUUUUCCUCUUUGAACGUAGAGAUCCCAGAAUUAAUAUGUUCCCAAUAAUAAUGCAGAGUAAAGCAAUGAAAAUCAGCUUUGCUUUAUUGACACCUGUGGACUCUCAUUGAUUUUCAGUGGCAGAGGAACUGGCCAGCUAAAAAUAUAUAAUUAAAUUUCAUCUUCAGCCUGUCACUAAUGUGAGGAAUUUCACUUCAAAUGUAGGGUGGGCUUUGUUUGCUAAUUUAUACGAGAAUGUACAGGCAACUCUUAAUUUUUUAGUUAUCUUUGGCUGCAGUGGCUCAGAGCAAACUAAAUUCAGAUUAUACAAUGUUUUCCGUGAGCAGCAGGACUGAUGAGCUGGAAUUCCACCAUUGCUUUUCUACAUUGACUCUCUCAUGUCUAAUAAAGAGUGAGUUUAUUAGCAUUUUCUCUGUGGGAGACAUUAAUAAAAGCAGUUUUCUCCAUCCAGGAAUCUAUUUUCAUAAAACCUGCAUGAAGUUCAUAUCUCUGAGACCUCGGUUGCUCUGACAAAUUUUCUUUGAAAUUAGCCGUUGCAUCUUAAAGCUAUUAAAUGGGGACCUGCAGAUAUAAACACACACAGUUGUACACAGGGUGAUAAAUCUCAUUUCUCUAUUAGAAGAACAAUGAGAGCACAGCAGAAAAGAGAGAAACUGGUGGUACUGGUGACCUGAGACACAAUUGCCAGUGGAGCGGUGGUCUGAGCAGACAUAACCCAAUGCAAAUAUAAUGUACAGCUGUUAUUUGCAAAGCUGGCUGGUAGAAACCAGCUGAAGUCUCCCUGCACUGAUGACACUGGUAUCCAUCAGUGUUAAGGCUUGGGGUGGAGGGUGGGCUGUGAUAAUCCAGGCUUAGUGGUUUCACCUGAAAGGGUGGGAGGCUUUACUAGGGCUGGGGAUUAAAAAGCAGAGCAAGAGUGAAGCAGAGCUGAGCUUGGUGGAGCUGGAGUCUGGAUCUCAGGUGGGUAAUAAGCUGUGGGGAAGUGACUUCUGCAUUCAUAGUUCUGAAUCUACCUGUUCUCUAGGGAGCUUUGUCUGCUGAGUGGCCCCAUAGGUUCCCUUCCUUAAGGGCAUAGUAAGGAUUUGACUUAAAGGCUGUUUGUGUGUUGUCUGGCUUUUUUUCUUUCUUUUGAGGGCAGAACUGUGGCUCAACGUAAUUUGGAUGACCCGUCAAUAAAGAAUGGAGGCUUAAAUAAAACUGUAAGGCAGUUUAAUAGUUGUGUGAAGGGUGUACCUGUGUGUAUCCUUUGGCAUAAGGCUAUGUUUCCACUAUGACUAUACAGUUUCAAGACUGUGAGUUGUGUGUUAAGUUUCUAUGCGUGUGAAGUCUUCACUAUAUCUUGGGAACAUUGAACUGAAUGCUGAAAGUGUCAUAGCAGGAGAUAUUAAUUUGUAGCUGUGUGGGCAAUGGUGGAGAUGUAGGGGUUUUUGACUCUGAGCACCCCAGUCUUUAGAUCUGAACCCAGUGGUCCUGUCCAUUACAGCUGUGUAUCCAGCUGUGUGCCUGGGUUGUUACGGUGGGCAGGCAGUGUGCACUUAAACCAUGGCCCACUGGUGCUGUUAUGUCAGGAGGGAUCAGAGCUGGAGUGACUCUGAAGACAUAAGUAUUUUUCUUAACAAGUCUUAAAUGGCAAAAUUCACACUGAAUAAUUUUGGUAAUAAAUGGCAACCUAAAUAUGUCAGGAGUGAUUUAGUACCUGUGAACCAUGGAGCUAAAAUGUAGAUGAGGCUAAUUAGCUGAUUCUUUAACCCAACUCCUGCUUUCCUCUCUCUUUCCAACAAAAAAAAAUUGCUAUUUUCUCUGCUUUUCUCAGAACACACAGGGUUGGGUUACAGCUUUGGCGUUGCUCUGGUUAUGUUGUCCAUGUGUCCUAUGCUUAACACAAAUAAGUAGAGACAAGAGGCUUGAGAGCAAGGUAGGCAGCCAGAUUCAGAGUGAAUAAUGCAGGCGUCAAGGCAAAAUGAGGUCAAAAAGAGCAUUUGCAGGCAAUACUAUGCAGAAAGGAUGUUUCUCUGCUACCUCUGCAAAGCAGCUGCCAUCAGCCAUGUGAUGCUCUCAUGCUUUGUCCGGUUAUUAUACGCAGAGAUGAAGCAGGAUCAAGAAUCAGUUCCUGACUAGGAGAGAUUUCUGAUGUUCCUCUGCCUGGGCCUGGACUGCAAUGUGCAGUUUGUGCUUUAGAGAUGUGCAAAUAAUUAAUUUUUCAGCUUGUUCACCAUUUUAAGGGAACACAAAGCAAGUUUUCUUCUGAAAUAGCUCUCACCACUGUCAUCUCUUCUGAAAGCUAUCACUUUGAAUCAUGCAAAACAUUGUUUUUUCUGUUUGAAAAAAAGUAUACAUCUAUGUAUAAAAAGCCUUAGUUUGAGCCAACGUGGUCUCCAAACCUUCCUGUUGAAAUAUGGAGCUGUAAUAUUUCAUUUUCAAAAUGCCGAACAAUAUGAUUUGACUUAUUCUUAAAAAAUGUUGGAUAAUUUUUAAUCUGGAGGUAUCUGGGUAACUUUUAAAUGCAUCUUUUGGAUGAGUAAACUAACUACCUGGGAAUUUGUUACUACCCCUGCACACAGACCCGGAGCUCUCACCUGGCUUAGCUGGACAUGUGGACAGCCUUAAAAAGGCACACACAUGGGGCUGCAGACUCACAGUCUCUGCGUUUUCAAUAUGCACAUCAUACAGAAAGACUUAUUCAGAGUAAUUUAGUGCCAGGAUGAAGGAGGGUCCAGCUAGUGUCCCUCAGCCAAAGUACACAGGGCUUGCAGACAUCUCUCUGCUCGCCUAUCACCUGUCCUCUCUGCUCACCUAUCACCUGUCCUCCUAGGGAAGGGAGGUAAAGCCAGCACCCUAAAGAAUGCUGUGAGGAAAAGAGAGCAGACAAACCUGCUGUUCCAGUAUGAAGCAUUUUUCUUUACUUGAUAGCUUUUCUUUUAGGUCUGACUCCUGCUCAUCUGAGCAGUGACGCUGAUAAAGCUUGGUACAGCUGUCAUGCAGAUGUGUAAUGGUCACUGCUGACAACCAGCAGCCACUGGAAUUUACAUUGUGAUGCUGCAGCAAGACCAAAAAAGAGCAUUUUUGCAUGAACCAGGGCUUCAUCCUUCUGAAGUAAGAGUGUACCUUGAGCUGGAGUAGUUUGUCCUGCUGCCUUUCUCCAGCUCUUAGCUGGUCUCAGGUCUGUUCUUCGGUCCUUUGGAAGAAGGGAGAGGGAUGAAAUAAUCAUUGCAUGGUAUGGAUGCUGCUCUCUUCCAGGCACAAGAACUGGCCUGGCUGAGGCAUUACAGUGAAUAAAAGCAGGAAAUAACUCUUGCCAAACAGCUGGCUGGCAUAAGGAGGAGCUCUUGCUGGUAGGAGAAUUUGGGAACAAAUAUGUCUUUUGCCAGCUCUGCUGAGCAACACAGCUGAUUUCCUGUCAGCCCCAGUGCUCCCAGUUCAACAGAAGCAUGGAGAUGGGACAUUGCCAAAAGCUUCUCCUGUGGUCUGUAUGGGGGAGUGAUGAUAAUCUGUUGGUAUUUGCUCACUGUGCCUCUGUGUAAGGGGUAUGAAGAGCAGCCUGUGGUCUGCCCUGGGUGAUGUCCUAGUCCCUGCCACCAGCAAGUACAGGCAGGACCAGGUGGCACCCACUGCUGGGAUGCUGCAGCUGGUGCUCCCCAGGGCUCAGGAUACACUUUCCGCUGAGACAGGGGGAUCUGUGGCACUUUGUGAUGCUUACAGCUUUACCAUCUGCCUGUGAUACUGGUGUGUGCAGGAAGAUGACCAGAGUCCCUCUGUCUGAGGGGACUGGGGCUGCUUGUCACAAGGACUGGUGGCACUUGCAAAUUCUGCCAUAUCUGGGGUGUCAGAAGUGACCUGGAUUCAUGUUGGUCCCCUUAAUGUACACUGGAUAGAGAUGGAUUCCAGGAUCCUGAAUGCCACACAUUGGUACAGAGCAAGCCCAUGCGGAGUGGUGAGUCUGACUAUGAGACUUUGGCAACGUGUUGCUCCUUCUGUCUUCUCUAGUGUGUGUUUCUAGGAGCUGAGACCCAUGAAUGUAAACACACAACUGUAUCAUCUGAUCCUUCUCAGGCCAUUGUUUGUUUGGGGUCAGCUUAUCUCUUUUUCAAGAAUGGGAUGUUUAGAGGAAAAAAAUAUAUAAAGCCUAUCUGUAAUAGUCUUAAUUGUAAACCAGGCUACAUACUUUCAGACUGGAACCUAAUCACUCAUUGGCCGUACAGGGAAUUGAUUAAUUGCUUUGCUGCUUUUUACUCGUAUAAAUCUUUGAUUUAGUGAUUACUGCAUUUUGAUUUAUCACUUACUAUACAAGUAAUCAAUAUUUAUGAUGAAUGGAUAAAUUCAAAUACCACCCAUUUCACAAUAUAUAAUAUAAUUUGAUGUAUAAAAGACAUUUUCAGUGGCUUUUCCUAAUUAUCCAAACUGGAAAUGGGUAUCUCUUCACCUGCAGUAAUGUCUCUUUCCUGACUGUCUUACAAUGGUGUGAAGUAGGAGUAACCCUGUUAUAACCAACUGAUGAAGAGGAAUCAGAGUUUGAGACAGAGAAAAACCUUCAGAGGGGAGAAGAACUUGUGCAAAUGAAAAACUAACUGAAGAAAGGGCCCUAGAUUUUUUUUUUUUUUUUUGCUAAAAACUGUUAUAGGGACAGACCAUUUACUAGUGUAAACUGGUAUAGAUCCUGGCCUAAUUCUUUUGUGUAUCUCUUUCUUCAAAGUCCUUCAAUUCAAUGUGAAUCUGAUCUUGGGGAUUAUUACACAGGAGUCUGACUGUCUGCAGUCCUUCAGAAUUACAAACUAAUUGUGGGAUAAGAGCUAUAUAUAAUUUACUAGCUAUGGAUUUGUUUUCCUGCUUUCAGAAGUCUCUUUACUGCCCUUCUUUCCUGCCUACCCCCGCCCUAUAGCUGAACAUGGUUUGUGUAGGAAUGGAACCACAGUGGUGGCAACUCAUUAGAAGCCCAGUGAACAUGGUCACCCCAGUUUCUGGGAAGGGGGCAGGGGUGGGGAGGGAUGUUGGUGGGGCAGAAACCCACUGUGGGGCCUGACAAGUUUAAGAACUCUCUGUCUGUAAGACAAUGGAUAAUGCUUGUGCUCUGAUCCCAUGAGUACUGAGUAGAUGUUAAAGAUAAUCUGCCUGGCCCAUUGCUGCUUGGAAUAAAAUCCAGAGGGAACUCAUCAGCAUGGACUAAACCUGCUCUGAGACCAGUAUUUUCUGUCUGUCUUUGUGGAAAGAAAAACCUGACCAGUGAGUUGUUCAGCUGUGAGUCCUGGGCUGGAUCCAAGGUUGGCUGAAGCUGGUGGAAGGACUCUUGCUGUCUUCAAAGGAUUUGUGAUGGGUAUUUUGCGCUCUCCAGGAAGGGAUCAUCCCCUCUGCUCCUUUCAUUGUGAAGUGGCUGCUGCUGCAAUGGAAAGCCCAACUAAAAGCUAAACAUACUACAUAUCCCCCCGGUGAUGGACACUUUAUUUCCUUCCGUUCAGCUUCCUCCGUGCUUGUGUAAAUGGAUGAGAGUUUUACAGGUUUGACUGCCAUUCACCAGCUUGCUAUAGUGUGUACUCUGACAUGAAACCCUCUGCACACUGUGAGCACUGGGUGAGUCCUUCCCCACCAUCCCAUGAGGUGGUGAGUUGGGCUGGAAGCUUCUGUAUUUUGGGCACUGCACCAACAAUGAGACUUCUUCAAAUAUCUCCUGCUGGUUGUUGCCAAUUGUCCUAAAAAAUACACUUUUUUUUGCAUGUCACAAUCCAAUCAAGAAAUGUUUUUUUGCUCUUGCAUAGAAUAAGAGAACAGGAGACUUUGAAGUGAUUUUUUUAAAAAUUUUUUUCAGUCAGCUCAUGAAGCACCCACUUAUUGAGGUUUUUCAGCUUUCCAAUUUGCUGCCAAGGCUGCAUGACCAUUGACUGGUCAACAUUGAGUUCUUUGGCAACUUCUAGUAGUUGUAAGAGAAUGAGCUUCAAUGAUUGCCCUCAGUUGGUUGUUGUCAAGUUCAGAUGGCUGGUCACUGUAUUCAUCUUCAAGGCUCUUGUCUCCUUUGUGAAACUUCUUGAAACCACCACUGCACUGUAUAUUUGUUAGCAGUUCCUGGGCUGAAUGUGUUGUUGAUGUUGAGUUGUUUCUGCUGCUUUGUGACCCCUUUUGAACUUGAAUAAGAAAACUGUUCGAAUUUGCUUUUUGUCUAGCAUUUCUAUAGUCUAAAAGAUAAAAUAAACAGCAAGUAAUAAGUCAGUAGCAAAAAAAAAGUGCAUUAAAAUAAUGACUUGGAUGAGGGAAUAGAGUGCACUGUCAGCAAAUUUGCUGAUGACACAAAGUUGGGAGGAGGGGCUGACAUGCCAGAGGCUGUGCUGCCAUCCAGAGACCUGGACAGGCUGGGGAGUUGGGGAGGGAGAAAUGUAAUGAAAUAUAACAAGGACAAGUGUAGAGUCUUGAAUCUGGGCAGGAGCAAUCCCAGGUUCCAGUGUAAGUUGGGGAAUGACCUGUUGGAGAGCAGCGUAGGGGAAAGGGACCUGGGGGUCCUGGUGGACAGCAGGAUGAGCAUGAGCCAGCACUGGGCCCUUGUGGCCAGGAAGGCCAAUGGCAUCCUGGGGUGGAUUAGGAGGGAGGUAGUUAGUAGGUCAAGAGAGGUUCUCUCUGCCCUGGUGAGACCCCACCUGGAGUCCUGUGACCGGCUCUGGGGUCCUCACUACAGGAAAGGCAGGGACCUGUUGGAGAGGGUCCAGAAGAGGGCCAGCAAGAUGAUCAGAGUGAUGGAACACCUCUGCUGUAAGGACAGACUGAGAGACUCAAGGUUGUUCAGCCUGGAGAAGAGAAGGCUCUGGGGAGACCUUAACGUGGCCUUUCAGUACUUUAAAGGGACCUGUGAGAAAGGUGGGGACAGACUUUUUAGCAGGGCCUGUUAUGACAGGACAAGAGGUCAUGGUUUUAAACUAAAGGAGGGGGAGAUUCAGGCUGGAAAUGAGGAAUAAACUUUUACAAUGAGGGUGGUGAAAGCCUGGCCCAGGUUGGCCGGAGAGGUGGUGGAUGAACCAUCCCUGGAGACAUCCCAGGCCAGGCUGGACGGGGCUCUGAGCAACCUGAGCUGGUGAAGAUGUCCCUGCCCAUGGCAGGGGUGGGACUGAAUGAGCUUUGAAGGUCCUUUCCAACCCCAAUUUUUCUGUGAUUCUAUGUGUGUGAUUGUUCAAUAUAUGGUGCAGCUGAGAUCUCCCUGAGCAGAACUGUAUUUCAGAGGUCUCUGCUUUAUAAAUACACCAUGCAAUGUGUGGUCCAAACAAAAUAAAUCCUGCACAGCUCAGGGUAGAUCUAAUGUAGUAAAUGUAUGAUGUUUGUUCCUGCCUGAUGCAAUAA
Columba livia (rock pigeon) is the source of this 7729-nucleotide long non-coding RNA. RefSeq lists it as uncharacterized. The transcript has 3 exons. Lineage: Eukaryota; Metazoa; Chordata; Aves; Columbiformes; Columbidae. The record is from RefSeq and is a predicted model, not a curated record.